Molecule: ribosomal RNA, 208 nt
Filed under: uncultured bacterium
Lineage: Bacteria
Description: partial 16S ribosomal RNA
Rfam family: Bacterial small subunit ribosomal RNA
Source: RNAcentral
UCGGAUUGCAGUCUGCAACUCGACUGCAUGAAGCUGGAAUCGCUAGUAAUCGCGAAUCAGAAUGUCGCGGUGAAUACGUUCCCGGGUCUUGUACACACCGCCCGUCACACCAUGGGAGUUGGUAACGCCCGAAGUCAGUGACCCAACCGCAAGGAGGGAGCUGCCGAAGGCGGGAUCGGUAACUGGGGUGAAGUCGUAACAAGGUACC